ACUCCUACGGGAGGCAGCAGUGGGGAAUUUUGCGCAAUGGGGGAAACCCUGACGCAGCAACGCCGCGUGGAGGAUGAAGUCCCUUGGGACGUAAACUCCUUUCGACCGGGACGAAUAAUGACGGUACCGGAAGAAGAAGCCCCGGCUAACUUCGUGCCAGCAGCCGCGGUAAU
RNAcentral lists this ribosomal RNA (173 nucleotides) under uncultured bacterium. Its description in RNAcentral is "partial 16S ribosomal RNA". It matches the Rfam family "Bacterial small subunit ribosomal RNA", at positions 335 to 524 of the family's 1533-position model. The record is from RNAcentral.